AGAGUUUGAUCAUGGCUCAGAUUGAACGCUGGCGGCAGGCCUAACACAUGCAAGUCGAACGGUAACAGGAAGAAGCUUGCUUCUUUGCUGACGAGUGGCGGACGGGUGAGUAAUGUCUGGGAAACUGCCUGAUGGAGGGGGAUAACUACUGGAAACGGUAGCUAAUACCGCAUAACGUCGCAAGACCAAAGAGGGGGACCUUCGGGCCUCUUGCCAUCGGAUGUGCCCAGAUGGGAUUAGCUAGUAGGUGGGGUAACGGCUCACCUAGGCGACGAUCCCUAGCUGGUCUGAGAGGAUGACCAGCCACACUGGAACUGAGACACGGUCCAGACUCCUACGGGAGGCAGCAGUGGGGAAUAUUGCACAAUGGGCGCAAGCCUGAUGCAGCCAUGCCGCGUGUAUGAAGAAGGCCUUCGGGUUGUAAAGUACUUUCAGCGGGGAAGAAGAUGACGGUACCUGACUAAGAAGCACCGG
This 474-nucleotide ribosomal RNA is filed under the name uncultured bacterium. RNAcentral describes it as "bacterial SSU rRNA". It matches the Rfam family "Bacterial small subunit ribosomal RNA", at positions 8 to 496 of the family's 1533-position model. The record is from RNAcentral.